This 447-nucleotide ribosomal RNA is filed under the name uncultured bacterium. Its description in RNAcentral is "partial 16S ribosomal RNA". It matches the Rfam family "Bacterial small subunit ribosomal RNA", at positions 330 to 793 of the family's 1533-position model. The record is from RNAcentral.
CCCAGACUCCUACGGGAGGCAGCAGUGGGGGAUAUUGCACAAUGGGGGGAACCCUGAUGCAGCGACGCCGCGUGGGUGAAGGAGCGUUUCGGCGCGUAAAGCCCUAUCGGCAGGGAAGAAGGAGGACGGUACCUGACUAGGAAGCCCCGGCUAACUACGUGCCAGCAGCCGCGGUAAUACGUAGGGGGCAAGCGUUAUCCGGAUUUACUGGGUGUAAAGGGGGCGCAGACGGCAGCGCAAGCCAGGAGUGAAAGCCCGGGGCCCAACCCCGGGACUGCUCUUGGAACUGCGCGGCUGGAGUGCAGGAGGGGCAGGCGGAAUUCCUGGUGUAGCGGUGAAAUGCGUAGAUAUCAGGAGGAACACCGGUGGCGAAGGCGGCCUGCUGGACUGCGACUGACGUUGAGGCCCGAAAGCGUGGGGAGCAAACAGGAUUAGAUACCCCCGUAG